Long non-coding RNA from Strongylocentrotus purpuratus (purple sea urchin), 1083 nucleotides. RefSeq lists it as uncharacterized. The record is from RefSeq and is a predicted model, not a curated record. Lineage: Eukaryota; Metazoa; Echinodermata; Echinoidea; Camarodonta; Strongylocentrotidae. The transcript is spliced from 3 exons.
UAUGAGUUGCCAAUUUCAUCUGAUCUCUGUACGUGAUACCGGUGCAUUCAGAGAAAAAUCCUUAAUCAUGGGUGGAGGAUACGUAGACGAGUCCCAGUUUGCCCACUACACAGGGUUCAGGAGGUGGUUCAAUGCCGACACCACGUUUGGCAAGAGGAAUUGUGUAGUUGGAACAUAUGCCGCAACCUUCGUCCUAGUAUGGUACAUCAGGAGAAAGAUGAACAAGAACAAGGCUAUAGCAGCAGCUGCAGCGGGCGACAUCAGCAAAUAAAUGUGCCAUGGAUAACGGUGCAUGUAUCAUAGAAAGAACUGAACAUCGCCCUCGUAUUAAAAUAAAAAAUAUAGAUGAAAAACAUAUUUUUCAUCGAGUGAACUUUGACCUUCUCCUUUGCUGUUACACCAUGAUGCCCUCUCAACCGUCACUCAACUGAAAGAUGUAUUCACAUAGAAACACUUCCUUGGUGUCUCCACUCUCCUCGGACUGCAAACAGUGUCAUCAGCCAUGCAAUCUCUGUUUGAGGCUGCCUCCCCCUUCACCUGCCACAUGUAUUACAAGUUGCUGCUGUGGAACUUUUGGAAACAUGACCAAGCCAUGAUGAGUCUACCUCCAGCAGAUUCAAUAAUAUUGAACAAAUGUUACCGGUAACAAUGUAUUGAAUACAUUAUGUUGGAACCAGUGAAUUUAUCUGGUAUUAGGAAAAUAAAAGGGCAGUCAUAGGAAUAAGUGAAAAAUAAUUAGUCAAGCAUUUGAAAAGUGAAAGGGCAUGGUUAUCAGACUGGUUCCUGUAUUGUCUUUUCAAAGAAGAAAGAAAAUGUCAAUAACAUCAUCCUAUAUGUUAUGAAUGAAAUGCAAAUGUCAUGGCGUUUUAGGACUGGGAGAGGUUUGUUCUGACUUAAAUGGUAAUAAAAUCAACUUGUUACAUGUACACGUACCUAACCACUUGGCCAGCCUGAACUUCACAUUUAUAGGAAUUUAGAAAUUAUAAUUAAUUUCUUAUUUUGUAUCUUGAGGGUCUCUUUAAAAAUGUGUAUUGGAGUUUGUUGAAAAUUGAAAGAAUGCUAUUUGAAUACUAGAAACCUUAA